This 251-nucleotide unclassified non-coding RNA is filed under the name uncultured Byssonectria. RNAcentral describes it as "sequence contains ITS2". The stretch from base 1 to 52 matches the Rfam family "5.8S ribosomal RNA", at positions 103 to 154 of the family's 154-position model. Lineage: Eukaryota; Fungi; Ascomycota; Pezizomycetes; Pezizales; Pyronemataceae. The record is from RNAcentral.
AACGCACAUUGCGCCUCCUGGUAUUCCGGGAGGCAUGCCUGUUCGAGCGUCAUUAAAAACCACUCAAGCUCUUUUGCUUGGUCAUGGAAGAAGAGUUUGCUUGCAAUCUCUCCUCCGAAAUUCAAAGGCGGAAAGUCUCAGAGCCCCGGCGUAGUAAUAAUAUUUCGCUUGGAACUUGAAAUGAUCCUGCCCUUAACCCCCAAUUUAUCUAGGUUGACCUCGGAUCAGGUAGGGAUACCCGCUGAACUUAA